UAUACAUGCAAGUCGAACGAACUCUGGUAUUGAUUGGUGCUUGCAUCAUGAUUUACAUUUGAGUGAGUGGCGAACUGGUGAGUAACACGUGGGAAACCUGCCCAGAAGCGGGGGAUAACACCUGGAAACAGAUGCUAAUACCGCAUAACAACUUGGACCGCAUGGUCCGAGUUUGAAAGAUGGCUUCGGCUAUCACUUUUGGAUGGUCCCGCGGCGUAUUAGCUAGAUGGUGGGGUAACGGCUCACCAUGGCAAUGAUACGUAGCCGACCUGAGAGGGUAAUCGGCCACAUUGGGACUGAGACACGGCCCAAACUCCUACGGGAGGCAGCAGUAGGGAAUCUUCCACAAUGGACGAAAGUCUGAUGGAGCAACGCCGCGUGAGUGAAGAAGGGUUUCGGCUCGUAAAACUCUGUUGUUAAAGAAGAACAUAUCUGAGAGUAACUGUUCAGGUAUUGACGGUAUUUAACCAGAAAGCCACGGCUAACUACGUGCCAGCAGCCGCGGUAAUACGUAGGUGGCAAGCGUUGUCCGGAUUUAUUGGGCGUAAAGCGAGCGCAGGCGGUUUUUUAAGUCUGAUGUGAAAGCCUUCGGCUCAACCGAAGAAGUGCAUCGGAAACUGGGAAACUUGAGUGCAGAAGAGGACAGUGGAACUCCAUGUGUAGCGGUGAAAUGCGUAGAUAUAUGGAAGAACACCAGUGGCGAAGGCGGCUGUCUGGUCUGUAACUGACGCUGAGGCUCGAAAGUAUGGGUAGCAAACAGGAUUAGAUACCCUGGUAGUCCAUACCGUAAACGAUGAAUGCUAAGUGUUGGAGGGUUUCCGCCCUUCAGUGCUGCAGCUAACGCAUUAAGCAUUCCGCCUGGGGAGUACGGCCGCAAGGCUGAACUCAAAGGAAUUGACGGGGGCCCGCACAA
RNAcentral lists this ribosomal RNA (913 nucleotides) under Lactiplantibacillus plantarum. RNAcentral describes it as "bacterial SSU rRNA". It matches the Rfam family "Bacterial small subunit ribosomal RNA", at positions 50 to 928 of the family's 1533-position model. Lineage: Bacteria; Bacillati; Bacillota; Bacilli; Lactobacillales; Lactobacillaceae. The record is from RNAcentral.